CGCGCAGCUACCAUGCAGUCGAGCGAACCUUCGGGUUAGCGGCGGACGGGUGAGUAACGCGUGGGAACGUACCCUCUUCUGCGGGAUAGCCACUGGAAACGGUGAGUAAUACCGCAUACGCCCUUCGGGGGAAAGAUUUAUCGGAGGAGGAUCGGCCCGCGUUGGAUUAGGUAGUUGGUGGGGUAAUGGCCUACCAAGCCUACGAUCCAUAGCUGGUUUUAGAGGAUGAUCAGCCACACUGGGACUGAGACACGGCCCAGACUCCUACGGGAGGCAGCAGUGGGGAAUCUUAGACAAUGGGCGCAAGCCUGAUCUAGCCAUGCCGCGUGAGUGACGAAGGCCUUAGGGUCGUAAAGCUCUUUCGCCAGAGAUGAUAAUGACAGUAUCUGGUAAAGAAACCCCGGCUAACUCCGUGCCAGCAGCCGCGGUAAUACGGAGGGGGUUAGCGUUGUUCGGAAUUACUGGGCGUAAAGCGCACGUAGGCGGAUUGGAAAGUUGGGGGUGAAAUCCCAGGGCUCAACCCUGGAACUGCCUCCAAAACUCCCAGUCUGGAGUUCGAGAGAGGUGAGUGGAAUUCCGAGUGUAGAGGUGAAAUUCGUAGAUAUUCGGAGGAACACCAGUGGCGAAGGCGGCUCACUGGCUCGAUACUGACGCUGAGGU
This 660-nucleotide ribosomal RNA is filed under the name Roseovarius sp. Its description in RNAcentral is "bacterial SSU rRNA". It matches the Rfam family "Bacterial small subunit ribosomal RNA", at positions 43 to 752 of the family's 1533-position model. Lineage: Bacteria; Pseudomonadati; Pseudomonadota; Alphaproteobacteria; Rhodobacterales; Roseobacteraceae. The record is from RNAcentral.